UGGGGGAUAUUGCACAAUGGGCGAAAGCCUGAUGCAGCGACGCCGCGUGGGGGAUGAAGGCUUUCGGGUUGUAAACCUCUUUCGCUAUCGAACAAGGCCCGCUUAGGGUGGGUUGAGGGUAGGUGGAGAAGAAGCGCCGGCUAACUACGUGCCAGCAGCCGCGGUAAUACGUAGGGCGCGAGCGUUGUCCGGAAUUAUUGGGCGUAAAGGGCUUGUAGGCGGCUUGUUGCGCCUGCUGUGAAAACGCGGGGCUUAACUUCGCGCGUGCAGUGGGUACGGGCAGGCUUGAGUGUGGUAGGGGUAACUGGAAUUCCAGGUGUAGCGGUGGAAUGCGCAGAUAUCUGGAGGAACACCGAUGGCGAAGGCAGGCCACUGGGCCAUUACUGACGCUGAGGAGCGAAAGCAUGGGUAGCGAACAGG
RNAcentral lists this ribosomal RNA (420 nucleotides) under bacterium. Its description in RNAcentral is "partial 16S ribosomal RNA". It matches the Rfam family "Bacterial small subunit ribosomal RNA", at positions 355 to 776 of the family's 1533-position model. The record is from RNAcentral.